AGAAUCAACGCUGGCGGCGUGCCUAACACAUGCAAGUCGAACGAGAAAGGGUAGCAAUACCUGAGUAAAGUGGCGCACGGGUGAGUAACACGUGACUAACCUACCCUGGAGUGGGGGAUAACUGAGGGAAACCUUAGCUAAUACCGCAUAACACCUACGGGUCAAAGGAGCAAUUCGCUUCAGGAGGGGGUCGCGGCCGAUUAGUUAGUUGGCGGGGUAAUGGCCCACCAAGACAGUGAUCGGUA
This 245-nucleotide ribosomal RNA is filed under the name uncultured bacterium. RNAcentral describes it as "partial small subunit ribosomal RNA". It matches the Rfam family "Bacterial small subunit ribosomal RNA", at positions 26 to 285 of the family's 1533-position model. The record is from RNAcentral.